Molecule: long non-coding RNA, 1110 nt
Organism: Ostrea edulis (European flat oyster)
Lineage: Eukaryota; Metazoa; Mollusca; Bivalvia; Ostreida; Ostreidae
Exons: 3
Source: RefSeq, a predicted model, not a curated record
ACACGAGUGGGUUUUAUCUCAUGGUGGUGUGAAUCAUUGUUUGCAUGGAGAGAUAACUGAGGAGAAGAGAACGAAACCAUGGCUUUCACCUACAGAGCAUGCAUCCUGAAGGAUUUGGCAACUGUAGUGUUGGACAAAAGGCUUCUAAAUAAUGGCGGAUACUACUUAAAAUUUAGAAGUACAGCUGAAUUAGAAGGAUUUCACCAGCAUCUCUUUAUGUAGUGCUCUAAGAGAUUUGUGUACAGUCCCCCGUUGUAUCGAGCAAGAAACAGGCUUGCAGCUUUAAACCAAAGCAUGAAUGUGGACCGCUCAGUACAGAAAAACAAAGACAGGACAAUAAGGUGCCACAGAGUUUUCAACAAAAAAAGUGGAAGAUGGACUGUUCAUGCAGUUAAAACAAGGAAACAAUACCAUUAUGUUAAUUCGCUUUUGGCACGUGCUUUAAUCAUGCGGAUUCAUGAUAAAGUUGGAAUGAAAAUGACCACUUUAGCUUCUGAUGAUCCCCACGUGAUAUCAAAAUAUCUGGCAGCCCAGGAACCACGCCCUACUGAGGAGCUUGAUAGACAACAGAAGUCAAGAUUUCCUGAAUAGUUCAUCUAUUCAAAAACCUCUAUGAACAUGAUGAAGGGAGAGAUCAAUGUCGAAUAAAAAUCUAAACUAAUUUUUUUUUUGGGGGGGGGGGUGUUAAACCCUGUAAGUUUACGUCUUCGAACAUCAAUUUUGAUAGACACAUUAAUAUCAUUUUCAACAUUCUACGUACUUAGUAUUCAGGGGGGGGGGGGUCUUGAUGAAACACGAUUUGUUAUGAGACAUUGAACUUUAAAUCUUGCCCUUAUAUAUAUGCAAUAUGUAGAAUUUGAUUUUCCAUGAACUAGUACAUCAGAUUCCUUCAAGUAAAGAGUCUUUUAAUACCAUGUCAAAUACAUUCAUAAUACUAACUUGUGUCAAAUUUUAAACAAAUAUUUAUUUAAUAUCUCUUAAUGUCCAUUUGCUGUAAAUGAUACUCUAGGUGUGUCAGACGAAAUUCAUAGUGUAUGUUUCAUUUGUGAAGCUUUGUGGAUUUAUGUUUUAGAGUUGUGACAUUGACCAACCAAAUGAUAAUCGUUUUAA